UAUCGCCAGAAUACAUUAGCAUGGAAUAAUACUAUAGGAUCUUGGUUCUAUUUUGUUGGUUUCUAGAAUUGAGAUAAUGAUUAAUAGGGACAAUUGGGGGCAUUCGUAUCAACACGUCAGAGGUGGAAUUCUUGGAUUGUGUUGCGACGAACUACUGCGAAAGCAUUUGCCAAGGAUGUUUUCAUUGAUCAAGAACGAAAGUAAGGGGAUCGAAGACGAUUAGAUACCGUCGUAGUCUUUACCAUAAACUAUGCCAACUAGAGAUGGGGCAUCGUUCACUUACGACUUGCUCCGCACCUUAUGAGAUAUCAAAGUCUUUGGGUUCCGGGGGGAGUAUGGUCGCAAGGCUGAAACUUAAAGGAAUUGACGGAAGGGCACCACCAGGAGUGGAGCCUGCGGCUUAAUUUGACUCAACACGGGGAAACUCACCAGGUCCAGACAUAAUAAGGAUUGACAGAUUGAUAGCUCUUUCUUGAUUUUAUGGGUGGUGGUGCAUGGCCGCUCUUAGUUCGUGGAGUGAUUUGUCUGCUUAAUUGCGUUAACGAACGAGACCUUAACCUGCUAAAUAGGAGCGCAUAUCUUCGGAUAAGCGCCUUUCUUCUUAGAGGGACUUUAUGCGUUUCAGCAUGAGGAAGUUUGAGGCUAAAACAGGUCUGUGAUGCCCUUAGAUGUUCUGGGCUGCACGCGCGCUACACUGAUGCGUUCAACGAGUGUACAACCUUGCCCGAUAGGGUUGGGUAACCUUUUGAACACGCAUCGUGAUGGGGAUAGAUUAUUGCAAUUAUUAAUCUUCAACGAGGAAUUCCUAGUAAUGAUGGAUCAUCAGUUCAUCGUGAUUACGUCCCUGCCCUUUGUACACACCGCCCGUCGCUCCUACCGAUUGAGCAAUCCGGUGAAUAUUUCGGACCGAGACUCGUUUGGGCAACCUUACUUGUUUUGGAAAGUCAAGUUAACCUUAUUGCUUAGAGGAAGGAGAAGUCGUAACAAGGUUUCCGUAG
This 998-nucleotide ribosomal RNA is filed under the name uncultured Syndiniales. RNAcentral describes it as "SSU rRNA". It matches the Rfam family "Eukaryotic small subunit ribosomal RNA", at positions 789 to 1808 of the family's 1831-position model. Lineage: Eukaryota; Dinophyceae; Syndiniales. The record is from RNAcentral.